Molecule: ribosomal RNA, 376 nt
Filed under: uncultured bacterium
Lineage: Bacteria
Description: bacterial SSU rRNA
Rfam family: Bacterial small subunit ribosomal RNA
Source: RNAcentral
AUUGAACGCUGGCGGCAUGCCUUACACAUGCAAGUCGAACGGCAGCACGGGAGCAAUCCUGGUGGCGAGUGGCGAACGGGUGAGUAAUGUAUCGGAACGUGCCCAGUCGUGGGGGAUAACGCAGCGAAAGCUGUGCUAAUACCGCAUGAGACCUGAGGGUGAAAGCGGGGGGAUCGCAAGACCUCGCGCUAUUGGAGCGGCCGAUAUCAGAUUAGCUAGUUGGUGGGGUAAAGGCCUACCAAGGCAACGAUCUGUAGUUGGUCUGAGAGGACGACCAGCCACACUGGGACUGAGACACGGCCCAGACUCCUACGGGAGGCAGCAGUGGGGAAUUUUGGACAAUGGGCGCAAGCCUGAUCCAGCAAUGCCGCGUGCA